AUUGAACGCUGGCGGCAGGCCUAACUCAUGCAAGUCGAACAGUAACAGGAAGCAGCUUGCUGCUUCGCUGACGAGUGGCGGACGGGUGAGUAAUGUCUGGGAAACUGCCUGAUGGAGGGGGAUAACUACUGGAAACGGUAGCUAAUACCGCAUAACGUCGCAAGACCAAAGAGGGGGACCUUCGGGCCUCUUGCCAUCGGAUGUGCCCAGAUGGGAUUAGCUAGUAGGUGGGGUAACGGCUCACCUAGGCGACGAUCCCUAGCUGGUCUGAGAGGAGGACCAGCCACACUGGAACUGAGACACGGUCCAGACUCCUACGGGAGGCAGCAGUGGGGAAUAUUGCACAAUGGGCGCAAGCCUGAUGCAGCCAUGCCGCGUGUAUGAAGAAGGCCUUCGGGUUGUAAAGUACUUUCAGCGGGGAGGAAGGCGAUAAGGUUAAUAACCUUGUCGAUUGACGUUACCCGCAGAAGAAGCACCGGCUAACUCCGUGCCAGCCGCCGCAGUAA
Molecule: ribosomal RNA, 506 nt
Filed under: uncultured bacterium
Lineage: Bacteria
Description: partial 16S ribosomal RNA
Rfam family: Bacterial small subunit ribosomal RNA
Source: RNAcentral